Molecule: non-coding RNA, 356 nt
Organism: Pelobates cultripes (western spadefoot toad)
Lineage: Eukaryota; Metazoa; Chordata; Amphibia; Anura; Pelobatidae
Source: the annotation of a GenBank genome assembly
CACAUAGGCAGUCACACACACAGACAGACACACAGUAACACACACAUAGACAGUUAUACACACACAGGCAGGCAGUCACACAGAUAGAAAGUCACACACACAGGCAGGCAGUCACACACAGACAGAUAGUUACAGACAGACACACACAGGCAGGCAGUCACACAUACAGGCAGUCACACACACAGGCAGUCACACACACAGGCAGUCACACACACAGACAGACAGUCACACACACAGACAGUCACACAGACAGACAGUCUCACACACGGGCAGUCACACAGACAGACAGUCACACACACAGACAGUCACACACAGGCAGGCAGUCACACACAGACAGUCACACACACACACACAGA